AGCCUUCUGUAUCCGUGUUGAGAUUUCGUCAGUGAUCAAACCAUUGAGGUUGAUGCAACUCCCCAAAUAAGUGAAGUA
Molecule: microRNA precursor, 78 nt
Filed under: Trichobilharzia regenti
Lineage: Eukaryota; Metazoa; Platyhelminthes; Trematoda; Strigeidida; Schistosomatidae
Description: mir-3492 microRNA precursor family
Rfam family: mir-3492 microRNA precursor family
Source: Rfam by way of RNAcentral